AAAAUUUACUCCUUUUGAAAUAUAGAUAAAAUUAUUUAAUUUUGUAUUUUUGUGCUCAUAAAAAUAUAGGAAAAAUAAUAUUUUCAUUAAAUUAAAAUUUAUCAUAAGGCAUAGCAAUAUUAUUAUGCAUACAUGCUGGUGCAUAUGUUUUGAUGUGAUGCUUGUUGCUCCUUUAUGUGUUGAUAGUAAGAAAAAUAUUUAAAAUACGUUUAGUACAUCGAUCUUCCUUAUUCGGCACGUAUUUAUCUUUUAUCUACAACCAAAUUCCUUGUUUCUAAGCUCAAAUUUUUAUUAGAACCUUCCUAAAAUAUUUUCUUUAUCACUCAAAGCACUUCUUUUAGUUCCUCGUCCAUCAAGCAAUCUCUACAAACUUUUCGGAAAUUUUUCCAUCUUCUGUUCUCACUUUUCUCUGAGCAUGAUCUAAUUUUUAGAUGCUCUAAACAAUCUUAUCAUGAGCUCUAAAAACUUUAUUCGGGUUCCCCAUGUUCUAUAAUAUCUCUGAGAAUUUUUCCCGAAUUUUCGGAGCUUUCGGAGUAUUUUUCGUGGCUUAACUACUAAUUCUAAACUUUUCUAGAAUUAUUUUAUCAAUGAAAAUAAUUAAUUCCGAAAAUAAUAAAUCUCUUAUUAGUUUUUCCAACGUCAAAGCCCAUAAUAAAUCCCAAAAACCAUAUAGUUAUUUACUAAUGGGCUUUAAUAAUUAAUUAGGCCUAUUAGUAAAGAUGAAGGUUGCAAAUCAAUUAGUACCAUAUCGCUAGUUGACGUGGAGCUGUGGAGUUUCUCUCCCUAUAUAUUUGUACCAACUCUUAGGUUGAGCACACCAAAUACUACCAUAUGGGAAGCCUCUAGUUUGGGGAUUCCUAAGGUAGUAAAAUUAUAUUUUAUCCUUUCUCUACACGUUGCCCCUUCGUCAUCAGAAGUCGAGCACCAUGCCCUGGUAGCACACGACACCGUUCGUCUUCCAAUGUCGUGGCUUGCCAUGCUAGUUCCUUCCGCGAGACAUGGCUGAAGUCGUUGUUGGCACUUGAGUUGUCCAUGGACGGUACAUAUCUACUCAUCUCCUUUAAACCUCUGUUUUUCUUGCUAACUCCCAAUAUUUAUAGUUAAUCCCGCUUAAAUCAUUUGGCGUUGAUCUUUGUAGCUCCGUUUUGCUCUGUUCGUUAGUUUCAUACGUAGCAGCAAUGUUAAUUCGUCACAUGUUUUAUAAUUUAAUUAGUAAUUGUUAUGGGUACGAUUAGCUUUCUAUUUUUUUUAAAAAAAUAAUAACAUAUGAGUUACACUUCAAUAAGUUAUACGCAAGUGUGAAAACAAUUUGAUUGCUAUCACUAAUGUGUUCUGAAAUUAAAAUUUGAUUAAAUUAACUCACGUCAUAUGCAAUUGAAAUGGAUGCUUUCAUAUAUUUAUUUUCUUUAACAACUUAAGUUUAACUAAUCUGAAAACUACUUAAAUAUUUUUAAAUAAAAUAUGAUUAGUUUUACCUUGGCUUUCUAAACAUAAUUUGACUUAACUCAAUUUAGGUAUUUUUCCCUGUAGUAUCUUAUACAUAUUAUAUAUAUAUAAAUAAAAUAAAUAAAACUCGUAGUUUUCUUUUUCUCGUAAAAUAAAUUUUAUGGUAGUCGUUUAGUUCUAUUACGCUCUCAUUAGCGUGCUUUUUACGUCUGUGUGCUGGUGGCGAUACGUAGAUUAGUUUCAAAUCUUUUUAUUGUUUGGUGUUUGUUCUAAUUUAGUUCUAUUAUUUGCUUUGUGUAUGUUUGGCUCCGAUUGCUUGUGUGUUUCUAUUCGAUGAUCGAGUUUAGUCGGUGAGCAACUCGUGGUGAUCAAGAGCGUUUCGGUGAUCAAGAUCAAAGCUUUGGCAACAAGUGAGACCAGCAGGACCAAAAGGAUAAGCAAGAGCAAUUGGAUUGAGGCAAGUAUAGCAUUUGGAUUUUAUUUCUGUGACCAUGAUCGUGUGACUAGAUUAAUGUUAAGUAAUAAAUGAUAAAAAUGACUUUUUAGCCACUUGAUGAUUUGUCUGUACGUGAUCACCCGGGACAACAGUGCAACCAUGAGGGCUAUAAUGGCUCUGGCUUUAGCUCAGUAUGAAGACCUUUUCUAGCUUGUUAGAGGUUACCCGAGAGGGCGGAGGGGCUGAACCGACACGGGUAUAGUGCGAGCCCCUGUCCCUAUGUGUAUAGGCUGCGCGUCAUUGUGCCAUUCGGAAGGGGGGUAUCUAUAUCUGCUCGCAAAGGAAACCUUGCGGCCCUAACAUGUUAGACGAACUUUUGAAAGGCUUCAUAGUGAUCCCUGCCGACCUUCCUUGGAAGUGGGUUAAGAGGCUGAUCACCUCGGGCGAAAGGGUAAAUCAUGACUCAUGGGUAAAGAUGUGCAACCUCUGCAGAGUGUUAAAACUAGUAUACUAGCCGAGCUCACGGUCAGGAGCGGCCUUGGGGACAUCUACAUUAAGGAUGAUGAUUCUUGUGUGUUAAAUAUGCUCAGUGUUUAUUGUUUAAUGCUUUACAUUAUUUAUGUCACACUGAUCAUGAGAUUGUGGGAGCUAUACAAUCUAGUUGCUAUACUUGUUGAGUUCGACAUGGACUCACUCUUGCUAUUUCCCCAAACCUCAGGAGAAGUUUAGGCUUGUGAUCAACGAGUCAGUUGGAUCCUGUAGAGAGAAGUUAAUACCCGAAGUUUGGAGUUGUCUAUCCGCUGUUUGCUAUCACAGGUUAUAUCUUUUAUACUAAGUACGUUAUAUAUUUAUGCAUUAUCUUUUGAUAUUACCCCUUAUUUGUAGCUAUAUGUGGGAUUUGACUUCUAAAACUCACAUAUGGUGCGUAUCUGAUUUGUCCUUAAAAUCGGGUAUUACAAAGUGGUAUCAGAGCAAUGCUGGCUGUAGGACGCAAGCCUAGUUAGAAAUUGGUCGUCUUAAGGUUUUGGAAUUGUCAUAAAAUCCUUGCUCUAUAAACCUUGGUACUUUCAUCCAUACUAUAUCCCUAUCCUUGCUAUUUGUCUCUACCUUGUUGCUUAUUUUAAAAGUACUUGUUUUCACCUUCACUCCUUGAUUUGGUAUGCUUUUAGAACCUUUUCUUAUCACCUUCUUGCGUCUUUGAAAUAUAAGUUUUACGAUCUCUACCCUUACUAUGAAGAGAACGAUAGUAUCGCAAGUUGAGUGAAGUGUGAACCUUCGAUGCUUAGUUGGUUUGUUAUUAUGUUUAUGCUUGAUUUGGAUCUUUGUAAUGAGUGCAGUGAUUUUGUGGGAUUUCUCCACAAUAUCAUUUAGUUUAUAGGCCUAAGGCAUAAGGAUUAAUGAAAUAAGUAGUUGGGUAUGGCUAUCUUCUGUUUCUGUCCUUUGCUGUUUUCUGGAGCAGUCUGCAAUGAUUCUGGUGUAUCUUCAAGAUCUGAUCGUGAAAAGUUUAUCCAAUUUUUCUGGGAACAACUAGACUUCAAUAUAUUUCUCUGACCACAAGAAUCACCCUCAUAGCUGUUAUGGUUUGGAAGUUACAAAAAUCACAAAAUGAUACAUAUGUUCUGUCAGGAAUCUGGACCAGUUUUGGUUGCCUAAUAUUUGAGACCAAUAUAACUAUAGAAUUUGGAAAAGUGUUCUAUAGAAAAGAUGUACACAAUUUGAUAAUCUUUCCAACGGUAUAAGAUGGAACUUAUUUGGAUAAGUAGAACCUGAGAUAUGAUAUUUACAAUUGGAUGUUUCUGUUCUGUAUCAAAGUCUGGGCAGUUUUGGUAUUCCCCAUUUUCGGCCAACUUGAAAUCAGAAGAUGGGAAAGAGUUGUAUACGAAAGUUGUAGAGGAUUUCAUAAGCUUUUAAACAAUAUAAGGAUCAUCUGCAGAUGAUUUAAGGAGCUCUAGAUAUAAUUUCUGGAAGUUAUUACACCUUGGCUGAGACAUUAUCAGGAAGGAUAUUAUAAUUGGCUAUUUUACCUAAACUUAAAGACAGAACCUAAGAAGGUCUUCUACGUGAAAGUGGUAGAGAAUUUCAUAAGUUUUCUAAUGAUAUAAGCUAUAACUCUAUUGGAAUAACAGAAUAUGAGUUAUACCUAUUUUUCUAUGCUGGUGUUUUUCAUAUCGCGGGAAAAUUUCAGGAUACAUGUUUAUUCUCUUGCACAUAAGCUCUUUGGGAUGUCAUGAGUUCUCAAUGUUAGCUAACUUGUCUAGAAAACAUGGAAGAUACCUUUCUUGUGCCCUAGUUGACUUUUCAUAAGGGGGGUAGCCUAAUUAAAGGAGUUACAAUGAGAAGGAUUGGCUAAUGUUGGAUCAUAUAUGAGGAUCACAAGUGUUCGGUGAAUUUGGUUUUGUUUCAAGAUAUCAUCUCUUUUAGAGAAUAUCAAUGGAGGUAUAUGUCAUUGCUGAUACUCAUAGAUUGAGAGUUAUGCUUAUGAGGAUCAGAUGACACCAAAGUCUACAAAGUUAUACAUACAAUGUGAGAGUGAAACAACUUGAUUGUGAUAAAGGUACCAAUAGAUGGAACAUAGUGAUGAAACCAACCUUGGCUCAAGAGACUCGGUACAACGAAUUUAAAAGACUAUAUGAUGUGUAGCGUCUAAAAAGGAUAGGAGAAAUAAGUUUAAAGAAGGAUCGUACCUACUACACUACACUAGGUGUCUCGUCAAUAUUUUAGGAAUACUUGAGGCUACUUGGAGUAAGAGAGUGGAAUCAUUGCAAUGAAGAUAUAACUACUCAAGAAAGUGAACAAGAUUCAAAAUAUACAUCUCUUUGAUAACCGUCUUCCGAAUCUCGAGGACGAGAUUCAUCUUAAGGGGGGUAGAAUUGUAACACCCUAAAAUUUACUCCUUUUGAAAUAUAGAUAAAAUUAUUUAAUUUUGUAUUUUUGUGCUCAUAAAAAUAUAGGAAAAAUAAUAUUUUCAUUAAAUUAAAAUUUAUCAUAAGGCAUAGCAAUAUUAUUAUGCAUACAUGCUGGUGCAUAUGUUUUGAUGUGAUGCUUGUUGCUCCUUUAUGUGUUGAUAGUAAGAAAAAUAUUUAAAAUACGUUUAGUACAUCGAUCUUCCUUAUUCGGCACGUAUUUAUCUUUUAUCUACAACCAAAUUCCUUGUUUCUAAGCUCAAAUUUUUAUUAGAACCUUCCUAAAAUAUUUUCUUUAUCACUCAAAGCACUUCUUUUAGUUCCUCGUCCAUCAAGCAAUCUCUACAAACUUUUCGGAAAUUUUUCCAUCUUCUGUUCUCACUUUUCUCUGAGCAUGAUCUAAUUUUUAGAUGCUCUAAACAAUCUUAUCAUGAGCUCUAAAAACUUUAUUCGGGUUCCCCAUGUUCUAUAAUAUCUCUGAGAAUUUUUCCCGAAUUUUCGGAGCUU
RNAcentral lists this long non-coding RNA (5292 nucleotides) under Sorghum bicolor (sorghum). RNAcentral describes it as "long non-coding RNA (SBIC_LNC011378)". Lineage: Eukaryota; Viridiplantae; Streptophyta; Magnoliopsida; Poales; Poaceae. The record is from RNAcentral.